Molecule: non-coding RNA, 480 nt
Organism: Pelobates cultripes (western spadefoot toad)
Lineage: Eukaryota; Metazoa; Chordata; Amphibia; Anura; Pelobatidae
Source: the annotation of a GenBank genome assembly
CAGUCAAGCUAUUGUCUUUUAAAAAGGGGGAAAACACCCACUCCGGCCGUCACACACAUUCAAACAAAUACAGGAGGCAGAUAGACAAUCGACAGGUUCACUUUAAAAAGGCACCCCGGAUGAGCUAAAUACCUGUCUCUAGUAGCCUUCUGGAAGCCGGAAGUGGACUCGGAGACAGACCGACACAAAACAGGAGAAUAACACAGGCAACGGCUGUAUUAUGGAGGUGAUCAGGCUCCGCUUGUCCCAUUUUCUGGGGGUCCGCUCUGGUCCUUGGUAUCCGGCCCUCCGAACCGGCAAAUCCGGGGGCCCCACGUUGUGGCGCCAAUUGAAAUGGAAAAAUCAAUUAAAGUAUUGAUUAUUUCUUUGUGUAUCUGCCCCUGGCCAAAUCAAUGAAACAAUGCGUGCACGCUCCCUGAAGUAAUUCACACCAGACACAGGUUCUAGGUUGCUGAAUAACUUGAGGAAAGUUUAUUCAGA